RNAcentral lists this ribosomal RNA (455 nucleotides) under uncultured bacterium. RNAcentral describes it as "bacterial SSU rRNA". It matches the Rfam family "Bacterial small subunit ribosomal RNA", at positions 96 to 562 of the family's 1533-position model. The record is from RNAcentral.
CGGCGGACGGGUGAGUAACGCGUGAGCAACCAACCUUGUACAGGGGGAUAACAGGUGGAAACACCUGCUAAUACCGCAUAAGACCCCGGCACUGCAUGGUGCUGAGGUAAAAGGAGGAAACUCCGGUACGAGACGGGCUCGCGUCCCAUUAGCUGGUUGGUGGGGUGACGGCCUACCAAGGCGACGAUGGGUAGCCGGCCUGAGAGGGUGUACGGCCACACUGGGACUGAGACACGGCCCAGACUCCUACGGGAGGCAGCAGUGGGGGAUAUUGCGCAAUGGGGGGAACCCUGACGCAGCGACGCCGCGUGAGCGAAGAAGGCCUUCGGGUCGUAAAGCUCUGUCUUUGGGGAAGAAUAAGAUGACGGUACCCAAGGAGGAAGCCCCGGCUAACUACGUGCCAGCAGCCGCGGUAACACGUAGGGGGCGAGCGUUGUCCGGAAUUACUGGGCGUA